GAGGAAAAGAAACUAACAAGGAUUCCCCUAGUAGCGGCGAGCGAAGCGGGAAGAGCUCAAAUUUGUAAUCUGGCACCUUCGGUGUCCGAGUUGUAAUCUCGAGAAGUGUUUUCCGCGCUAGACCGCAUGUAAGUCUGUUGGAAUACAGCGUCAUAGGUGGUGACAACCCCGUACGUAAUGCGGAUGCCUAGUGCUUUGUGAUACACUUUCGAAGAGUCGAGUUGUUUGGGAAUGCAGCUCAAAUUGGGUGGUAAAUUCCAUCUAAAGCUAAAUAUUGGCGAGAGACCGAUAGCGAACAAGUACCGUGAGGGAAAGAUGAAAAGCACUUUGGAAAGAGAGUUAAAAGUACGUGAAAUUGUUGAAAGGGAAACGCUUGAAGUCAGACUUGCGUAUUGGAGUUCAGCCGCAAGGUGUAUUCUUCAGUUUGCAGGCCAGCAUCAGUUUUCGGGGGUACAAAAGGGUAAGGGGAAGGUGGCAGCUUCGGCUGUGUUAUAGCCUCUUACUGGAUGUAUCCUUGGGGACUGAGGACUGCAGCGCACUUUUUGCAAGUCCCUCGGGACUUUCUGCGCUUAGGAUGCUGGUGGAAUGGCUUUAAACGACCCG
This 603-nucleotide ribosomal RNA is filed under the name Colacogloea effusa. RNAcentral's name for it is "partial large subunit ribosomal RNA". It matches the Rfam family "Eukaryotic large subunit ribosomal RNA", at positions 53 to 651 of the family's 3401-position model. The record is from RNAcentral. Lineage: Eukaryota; Fungi; Basidiomycota; Microbotryomycetes; Colacogloeaceae.